RNAcentral lists this ribosomal RNA (1056 nucleotides) under Bacillus safensis. Its description in RNAcentral is "bacterial SSU rRNA". It matches the Rfam family "Bacterial small subunit ribosomal RNA", at positions 38 to 1079 of the family's 1533-position model. Lineage: Bacteria; Bacillati; Bacillota; Bacilli; Caryophanales; Bacillaceae. The record is from RNAcentral.
AACUCCGUGCCUAAUACAUGCAAGUCGAGCGGACAGAAGGGAGCUUGCUCCCGGAUGUUAGCGGCGGACGGGUGAGUAACACGUGGGUAACCUGCCUGUAAGACUGGGAUAACUCCGGGAAACCGGAGCUAAUACCGGAUAGUUCCUUGAACCGCAUGGUUCAAGGAUGAAAGACGGUUUCGGCUGUCACUUACAGAUGGACCCGCGGCGCAUUAGCUAGUUGGUGGGGUAAUGGCUCACCAAGGCGACGAUGCGUAGCCGACCUGAGAGGGUGAUCGGCCACACUGGGACUGAGACACGGCCCAGACUCCUACGGGAGGCAGCAGUAGGGAAUCUUCCGCAAUGGACGAAAGUCUGACGGAGCAACGCCGCGUGAGUGAUGAAGGUUUUCGGAUCGUAAAGCUCUGUUGUUAGGGAAGAACAAGUGCGAGAGUAACUGCUCGCACCUUGACGGUACCUAACCAGAAAGCCACGGCUAACUACGUGCCAGCAGCCGCGGUAAUACGUAGGUGGCAAGCGUUGUCCGGAAUUAUUGGGCGUAAAGGGCUCGCAGGCGGUUUCUUAAGUCUGAUGUGAAAGCCCCCGGCUCAACCGGGGAGGGUCAUUGGAAACUGGGAAACUUGAGUGCAGAAGAGGAGAGUGGAAUUCCACGUGUAGCGGUGAAAUGCGUAGAGAUGUGGAGGAACACCAGUGGCGAAGGCGACUCUCUGGUCUGUAACUGACGCUGAGGAGCGAAAGCGUGGGGAGCGAACAGGAUUAGAUACCCUGGUAGUCCACGCCGUAAACGAUGAGUGCUAAGUGUUAGGGGGUUUCCGCCCCUUAGUGCUGCAGCUAACGCAUUAAGCACUCCGCCUGGGGAGUACGGUCGCAAGACUGAAACUCAAAGGAAUUGACGGGGGCCCGCACAAGCGGUGGAGCAUGUGGUUUAAUUUCGAAGCAACGCGAGAACCUUACCAGGUCUUGACAUCCUCUGACAACCCUAGAGAUAGGGCUUUCCCUUCGGGGACAGAGUGACAGGUGGUGCAUGGGUCGUCAGCUCGUGUCGUGAGAGUUGGG